Molecule: long non-coding RNA, 822 nt
Filed under: Gouania willdenowi (blunt-snouted clingfish)
Lineage: Eukaryota; Metazoa; Chordata; Actinopteri; Blenniiformes; Gobiesocidae
Description: lncRNA (ENSGWIG00000009244.1)
Source: RNAcentral
GGAAACAUCAACAGGGGACAGAAAGACUUCUAUUCACCAAAACAAUACAGGAGUGCCAGCAUCCACUGAUGGAGGAGGAGGAUGAAGAAGAUGGAGGACAUUAGCACCAGUAUCCACAGCUGCCUGAGGAGGAAACAUCAACAGAAAGCAAAACAAUCAAAACAAUUAAUGUAAGUAAAGCCUCUCAUUGGCACAGAAAGACACUGAACUAAUGUUUAAUGUAAAAAUAGAGGUGACUUUAUACUAAUGCCUGUAAAAUGUUGGACUGGAACAAUGGCAUCUACUGAUGGAGGAGGAGGAUGAAGAUGGAGGACAGGAGCACCAGUAUCCACAGCAUCCUGAGGAAACAUCAACAGAGGACAGAGACUUCUAUUCACCAAAACAAUACAGGAGCACCAGCAUCCACAGCAUCCUGAGGAGGAAACAUUACCAGAGGACAGAAAGACUUCUAUUCACCAAAACAAUCAAUAGUUUUGCUUCAGAGGAGAAUCCGACAGUUCCAGAUGUUCGUCACCAGCACUGCAGUGUUUACACAGACUGCUUUGGUUUCAACUUUCUACAAAAAACUGUUGAAUUUUCAACUCACUUUCCAUCUGAAUCCAAGCUCAUCUUCAUCACUGGGAUGUUUCUUCAUCAGUUCUUCGUACAGACUGACACAGCUCACACAUGGAGAAGAUGAUUUAUGGAAUAUGACAUUUAGAUUUUUCCUUUUCUCAACAGUAUGAUGCAUACAUCCCAACCCAAAUUUCAUGCAUUUUUUUGGCUUAACUUGAGCCAAUUUCCAUCAAUAAAUUGCUAAUGUAUUAUUAUUGACUAUUACUA